Molecule: small nucleolar RNA, 136 nt
Organism: Salvia miltiorrhiza (redroot sage)
Lineage: Eukaryota; Viridiplantae; Streptophyta; Magnoliopsida; Lamiales; Lamiaceae
Product: small nucleolar RNA Z247
Exons: 1
Source: RefSeq, a predicted model, not a curated record
GUUUCUGAAGAUGACCAGAUUAUGCACACUCUCGCAGGUCUUGGUCCUGAAUAUGAUUCAGUAAUGGUCACCAUUACCUCUAAGCCUGAGGUUUGGUCACUGGGAGAUGUUAGCACUCUACUCUUGAGCUUUGAAA